GCGCCUAGCUAGAAGGCAGAAGGUCCCAUUGUUACAAGUCUUUGGUAUGACUCGGCCGGGGUUCGAAACCACGACCUCCCAUUCAUGAGGCGGGCACUCUAACCACUGAGCCACCAUGCCCGGUUAUGAAUCAGUGCAAUUAUAAAAUAAUAUUUACAUACCUGAUGUGUACUGUUGAAACCCUGUGAAUUUGUUGUUGUAUUGCUGGUUGAUGGGUAUGUGUAGCCUGCCGUUGUAAACGUACCUUGCAUGCCAUAAUAAGGGCUCUGUGUUGCUUGCGGACUACCAGUGAAGCUUGAUGAACCAUAUGUACUAAGAUACGACCCUUGACCUUGUAAUGUAGCCGGGUCCGACUUUAAAGACUUUGCUCCUGUAAAAUAAUAAAAUUAAUGCCCACUUUGUUAGAAACAUGGAUGGAACACCUGGCAUAUUUUAGGUACCAGCAUAUAUUUCUUGUCAUUCACAAAUAUUUAUUUUAUUUGUUAACCAAAAUGUUGAUCAUACCGCCGUGCUCAUAUUUGGAUAAUACGUGUAACGCUUUUAUUAAGAUAAUUUUUUUGGGGUGCUAAAUGAGUGUAAAAGCAAUACGUUUUUUUAAUUCAAUAAUUGGAACAAAUUAGAGCAAGUAUUCUUGGUGACUAUACUAACUUUAAAAAAGAAAAGAAAGAAUCUAAUGACUUACAAGUUUUGGAUUGCACUCAGUUCCUAAAUAAUUCAAAUUAUGCCAUAGGACAUAGUUACAAUUCCUAUACUAGCCCAUAAGUGAGAUAUAAGGAAGUGAUCUUACCAUAGGACAUAGCUUGUCCUACUAGCCCAUAGGGCGAGGGUGAUGUCUGAGUAGAGUAGGGGUAACUGGAGGCACUCUGAGAACCAAAUGUGCCUUGUGUUUGUGAUCCUACUGGUUGAAAGUUGGCGCCCUGAGCCGUUGGAGUAGGCAAGAUGUGUGGGUAUGCUUGACUGUAACAAAAACAUUAAAACAAUU
This is a long non-coding RNA of Strongylocentrotus purpuratus (purple sea urchin), 982 nucleotides long. RefSeq lists it as uncharacterized. The transcript is spliced from 2 exons. The record is from RefSeq and is a predicted model, not a curated record. Lineage: Eukaryota; Metazoa; Echinodermata; Echinoidea; Camarodonta; Strongylocentrotidae.